UAUUAUUCUUACCUGAUCAGCCUAAAC
This 27-nucleotide non-coding RNA is filed under the name Rattus norvegicus (Norway rat). Lineage: Eukaryota; Metazoa; Chordata; Mammalia; Rodentia; Muridae. The record is from RNAcentral.